Molecule: long non-coding RNA, 1171 nt
Organism: Camellia sinensis
Lineage: Eukaryota; Viridiplantae; Streptophyta; Magnoliopsida; Ericales; Theaceae
Source: RefSeq, a predicted model, not a curated record
AUUCGUUCGUUCAUUUUCUCUCUCUCCCUCUCUCUCUCUCUCUCUCUCUCAAAGAAAGUCAUAGUUUGUGUGCUUUUUUUCUUAUGGGGGAGAGAAAAAAGCUUUCAGAACAUAAAGCAGGACAGAAAUUUCUACAAGGUCUCCUCCAAGUGUAUGGAACCACCAUCAUGUCUCUCACUUCAAAAGGUCAAAAUCAUGAGCAAGAAGGAAUCUCUGGUGACCGGAGUGUCACCGGAGGCUCUCAAUUUGGCAUUGAGAACUCCAUUGUGAAGGUGGCUUGUUCAUGUUAAUUGGGUGCUAUCCUACCUGAGCUUUCCCAGAACCUUUACUUCUUCAUUCUCCCUCUUUUCUUUUUUUCUCUCUUUUGACUCGUUGCUUUUCUUUUUUUUUUUUUUCUUUCUUUCUUCCCUUUUGUGUUAAUUUUUCUUGACCUUGUAAGACCUUUUCUUGACCUUGUAAGACCCCCGUAUCAUGUCUUUUAUCUUUGUUUUUAAUUUUGUUACAAACCUUACAUUAGUAAUUAUUGGUGUAAGGUUUGGUCCACGUCUUUUUUCGUUCCCACUCAACCCAUGUUCUCCUUCCCCGUCUAUCCCUCCUGAGCUAUCCAAAUUAGACUUAGCAAAUCAGAAAAUUGAUCAGUAUUUGUUUGAAAGGUUGGCUUGGUCCAACCAUAAAGAUUGUUGUUAGCAGAUUCACAUAAGCAAUCUCUCCAGAAAUGGGAUGCCAUCACCAAACUUCACUUUAAUAAAAUCCUCGUGAAUUGAGUUGACUUUUUUACUAGUAAGCAUUGGAGAUCUCAAAUUCAAUAUGCUUCUAACAUUUUUCUAUUUGUAAAUUUACGAGGAAGUAAACUCUAGAGUUAUGAAGAUUACUCAAAGUACUAAUAAGGGCUCAUUUUUGUUAUUUCUUUACUAUCUUUCUCUCUUCUAUUUGGGUGAUAUUUUUUUGAUUUGGGCUAUCAAUUUGAGUUGGUAUUAUGUGGUCAGAGAUAUGCUGUUAGAGGCAUCAGGUUUCGUUGUUUUAUAUGUUGUUGUUGGCUGAGAAGUGAGUGAGCAACUGAGAGAGAAUAAAUAUUCUUUGCAGAUCCGUGGAUGAGUUCUUCUCGUGACUGCUCUCAUCUCAUGUACAAAAUAUUCACUGUAUUAUUGAGGAUUUCUCUCUCUCUCUCUCU